Molecule: ribosomal RNA, 253 nt
Filed under: uncultured bacterium
Lineage: Bacteria
Description: partial 16S ribosomal RNA
Rfam family: Bacterial small subunit ribosomal RNA
Source: RNAcentral
UACGAAGGGGGCUAGCGUUGUUCGGAUUUACUGGGCGUAAAGCGCACGUAGGCGGAUCGUUAAGUCAGAGGUGAAAUCCUGGAGCUCAACUCCAGAACUGCCUUUGAUACUGGCGAUCUUGAGUCCGGAAGAGGUGAGUGGAACUCCUAGUGUAGAGGUGGAAUUCGUAGAUAUUAGGAAGAACACCAGUGGCGAAGGCGGCUCACUGGUCCGGUACUGACGCUGAGGUGCGAAAGCGUGGGGAGCAAACAGG